AUUCCGUUCUAUAGUUUUCUAGGAGUUUCCUUUCUACAGUGUUCUAGAGAUUUCUGUGACAACUAUAUAUAUACAGACACUAAAGUCAAACAUUCAGACAUAGACAUUAAUAUUCUCAGACCUUCUCUCAAUUGGAUUGACACUUUUAUUUACGAACAACAUCAUGCUAGAUUGUGACCUAUUGGACGUAAUAUUCUGUUUGGAUUCCCGAGAAGAAUUCCGGAUAAAGAAAAGACAAAAGAUCGGACAUAUAUUUUAACACCUUGUCGGCCAUGCUGGUUGGUUGACGGGAUCAUAGGACACUUUUUAUAACAAGAUUUUCCAAUGAUGAUUCUCGCCAAGUUUUGUUCCAAUUGAUCCAGUAUUUUCUUAGAAGAUUUCGGUAGAAGUUGACGGAGUACGACAGAUGACGGACGCCAAAUGAUGGCAAUAGUUCACACUAGUCUUUUGGGGCAGAUGAGCUAAAAUAUUGAGGACAAAGAAGCAUUCAUGCCACUUUACAAAGCAAUCAAAGCCGGGCUUCAGAGUUAUUAUGAAACUCUACUCUAGGGGCAGUAUGAAUCAGCUCACAAAGUAACAGUGAACAUACAGGAAGACGUAAUAUGCGACAAAAACGACUAUUCUGAAUCAGUCUCAAUUUAUCUUUGCUCCUACUCCAAAACACACUUAGAUGUUUAAGUAUACUAGAGUUCUUGUAUGUGGAAUAUUAUCGCUAUUGUUAAAAGAGAGGCGAAAGAUACCAAUAAAUAAUGAUGGCACAUUUCUCAACAGGCCAAUAUAACUGCUCAUACAGAUCCCAAUACUGUAUAGAAUAAAAUGAGUCGCUACAGUCAAAAAACAGAGUCGCGAUUACAUUAAUUAAAUUUUGGAACAAAAAUGUAUAUAAUUUUGAAAUUAACAGAAAAAUAUAAUUACAGAAGUUGCAAAUUGCCAUUACAUAUUGACUUCGAAACUGAGUUUUAUCGAUAUUGAUAUAUAAAUUGAGUUUUAUUGGAAGACGAAAGUCAAGUAAUCUUCCCACAGGUACCUACAUCGAAUUCUUUUUUCAGUACUAUCAGGCCAAAAAAAAACAACGAUAAAGGUAAAACAGACUUAAUACAUACAAUGAACGUGCAACUUCAUGAAAUUAGAUUUGUUAUUAAUUCGCAUGAGAAUGGUAUUUAUCCCAAAAAGAUGUAUAUUAACAAAGAUCCAGAAUUAUUUAUGCUUGGAAAAGGAAAAAAAAACAAUGACAGGCGCAAAAAUUAUUGUUAAUCUCGCAACCACCACAAACACCUUGUAAUAGGGAACUUGAAUAUUUAUAUAGAUAAGAAUUCUACCAUUUUUUGUAAUUGUCAGAUGAAGUCCUAUUAACAGAAUUCUUACAAC
This is a long non-coding RNA of Mytilus californianus (California mussel), 1368 nucleotides long. RefSeq lists it as uncharacterized. The transcript is spliced from 4 exons. The record is from RefSeq and is a predicted model, not a curated record. Lineage: Eukaryota; Metazoa; Mollusca; Bivalvia; Mytilida; Mytilidae.